AUUCUUGAGAUGACGAAAAAUUCCGGAUGUAAACCAUUACUAUACUCCGAGAGCGCAAAACCCAUGUGGAGAUUUCCGUUGCCUUCCUUCUGAUCAAACCU
This is a small nucleolar RNA of Pseudogymnoascus pannorum, 101 nucleotides long. It matches the Rfam family "Small nucleolar RNA Z13/snr52". Rfam says of the family: Z13 or snr52 is a member of the C/D class of snoRNA which contain the C (UGAUGA) and D (CUGA) box motifs. NCBI's taxonomy places the organism in Eukaryota, Fungi, Ascomycota, Leotiomycetes, Thelebolales, Thelebolaceae. The record is from Rfam.